Molecule: long non-coding RNA, 2487 nt
Filed under: Phaseolus vulgaris (common bean)
Lineage: Eukaryota; Viridiplantae; Streptophyta; Magnoliopsida; Fabales; Fabaceae
Description: long non-coding RNA (PVUL_LNC000596)
Source: RNAcentral
CUUCACUCAACACUUGAGCUACAUCCAGUCCUCAGAAACCAUUGAGAAUUCACUAUGUAAUCAAUCAUAGAUUACAAACAACACAUCCACAAAGAGGUGACCUUGAAAACCACAAGACCCACUCACCCUCUUUCCAACCACAGACCUCUAGUCAGAACACCCUCUGACUUUAUAGGAUUUCACACACACCAAGAGUGAUGAUCUUGAACCACUCAAGAACACACACACCAAGAGUGAUGAUCUUGAACCACUCAAGAACACACACCACUCAUUGGCAAACACCACACCACUCCAAGAAUGUUGAUCUUGAUUCCCUCAAGAAUACACAACACUUCUUGGCAACACCAGUACAAAAAUACAAUUAUUAAGAAGGAAAGGAAUAGAAUACACCUUGGUAAAUCACAAUAUCAAAGAUCAGAAUACAAGACUCAAUCAUAUUCCACACAUUUGAGAUGAUCCAAAAGCUCUUUGAAAACUUGAAAACUCUCUUUGAUUGAUCUCUCUCACUUAGUUAAUGCACAAGAGCGUAAAACCACCUUUUUAUCUUUCAAUCAAAUGAUUAAAACAGUUACAACAAAAGCCCAAAAGCAGUUGGAAUAAUUUAAAACAGAACAACUACUUAACAAAAUUUUGUUAAGGUUUUUAGCAAAACAAUCAGUUGAUUUUUCAAAAUAAGCGAUUGAUUUUUAUUUGACAGCAUUAAAAUCCACUAAGUGUCAAAUAACCUGUUGUUUCGAAAUUUCAACCUGUUGAAAUUUGUUUCACAGCAAAGGCAAAGACAAAGCUUUCCCAAAUCAUUUAAAAACCUCUAAGUGUCAAACAACCUUUUGUUUCGAAAUUUCAAUCUGUUAAAAUUUGUUUCACAGCAAAGGCAAAGACAAAGCUUUUCCAAAUCAUUUUAAAAACCACUAAGUGUCAAACAACCUGUUGUUUCGAAAUUUCAACCUGUUAAAAUUUGUUUAACAGCAAAGGCAAAAGACAAAGUUUUUCCAAAUCAUUUUAAAAACCACUAAGUGUCAAAGAACUUGUUGUUUCGAAAUUUCAACCUGUUAAAAUUUUUUUGACAGCAAAGGUAAAGACAAAGAUUUUUCAAAUCAUUUUAAAAUCUAGUAAGUGUCAAAACAACCUGUUGAUUUGAAAUUUCAACUUGUUGAAAUUUCACUUCCUUUUAGAAAAUCCAUCUUUUCAAAAUGUUAAAGAUUCAAUUGAGCUUGGAUCAACUUAAGGAGUGAGUUAACAAGUUUCAAACAACUACACGCACACACAACAACAACAAGGUCUUCAAGCUUUCCACUUGGAUUUGGAGACAUCAAAACAUCUUGUUCAACAAUCUCCCCCUAUUUGAUGAAGACAAAUCCUUGGUUUGCUUGUGAUGUGCUUGUGAUGUUCUGUUUGAAUUUGUUAGUACCUGCAAAACAUAAUUUGUGCAUGUACCAGAAGUAAUCAUAUCCAUAUAUCAUUAGCACCACAUAACCAGUUUUCACUAGGUGAUUCUUAUAAGGAAAACUAGCAAAAUUAGUGUGAAAACAUGGUGCAAAAUUAGAGUUAUGCAGCAGCUAACUAAAUAAUAUAAACCCAGUUUUAAAACAGAUAUGUAACAGAGAUAUAGCAGCAUACAAACCAUAUAAUUCUCUCCCUAUUUGUCUUCUCAAAUAGAAUAGAAGAAGGGGUAAAACCAGAAUACCAGUGUGUGUAGCAACACCAUUGCAACAACAAACCUGUGAUACCAUAUCAAAAUUACAACAAAAAUCUAUGGUGUAUCAGAGUUAUGACAGCAACAGAAUCAAAGUACCAUAGACCCCAGAAAUUUCAGUAAGGAGACAACAAUUUCUCCCCCUAUCUUUUCUUCAUCCAACAAUACCCAUUAAUGGAGUACUUCAAAAGGUUAAUCUUCAAGUUGGUCAAAUGAUUGCUCAAGAGGUGGAUUUGGUAGAAAUAUUCUCUCUUCUGUUAAGAGCAAACCUUCCAGACGUUCGAAAGAUACAUUCACAAAUAUUCAUCAACCCCAUGACCACCAAUGUGGUUGCCAUUCAUAAAAAGCUUUGAAUUUAAAGGAAAACAAAGAAUACAUCUUUUUAUUAUCUGAUUUAGAGGCAUAGUAAAUGAAUUUUUGACCCACAAUGGGUUUUAAAAGAAAAGAAACAGUUGUAAUCAUGCAUAAGAAUUCAUAACAGUUUUAUUCAAAUGUGCUAGAGGUAAAACAAUCGGUUGUUUCGUGAAAACAAUCGGUUGUUUUUCUGAGACAACAAGAAAAUGUUAUUUUUCAAAGCUAAUCAUCUUUCAAAGUGAUGAGAAAUGCAUAAUGAAAUACAUUCAUACCUUUGCAUAACCUCAAUAUUUUUACCAGUCUCAAUUUUCUAUAUGUUCAACAAUAAUAAAAUAAGUAUAAUGUGGCAGAAAUUGUAAUAUAUUAAAAUAGAGAGCACAAUAUAAGUAAACAAAUACCAAAUUAUUUCUUCUUCUUGACAAAGACAUAGCACCACCAGU